Molecule: long non-coding RNA, 1197 nt
Filed under: Oryza sativa tropical japonica subgroup
Lineage: Eukaryota; Viridiplantae; Streptophyta; Magnoliopsida; Poales; Poaceae
Description: lncRNA OsKeNa_07g0012840
Source: RNAcentral
AUGAGAUCAAGAAUCAAUGUCGUCUUCUCCAUGGUACUCCGGUUCAUUCCUCCUCUUUUUAUUGUUCUCGUCCUUUCAAAUUGGUGGUGGAUGUCUCUCGUUCCACCUUUCGUCUUGAGGAGUCCUCUGUUGCCCUUGCUCUUUGAGCUUGUUUGGGUGGUUCUCGGUUUUCUUGUUAAACAUCUGAAUGAUCGGUGUUACACUUUUUGUGUUUGUAAUAAGUCUGUUGGUUUGUGGAUUUACAACCUUCGCUCCUAUAUUUGCCGUGAUUAUCAUAUGAGAUUCUUCUUAUGGCGCGAUGGUGGUCCUAAUUGGGGGUUUGAGUUUCGUCAGUGGGAAUCUGAGCAGCUUAAUGAAUGGACUGUUGUUAAGAAGAAAUCUAAAUCUGCUGUUGUUGCUUCCUCUUCAGUUCCUAUCUCUAGGGUUUUCAAUCGCCUCCAUGUUCUUGAUCCCCCUUGCCCUUCUCCGGUGGCCGCCGGCGAGAAGUCUCUCCGUUUUCCACUCUCAGUUGUUGCGAAGAAACCCUCUCCUUGGGAGAGUUCUCUGCCUCCCAUGGUGAAUCUUCACCCUAAUCCACUCUGUUUCAUCCCUCCUGGUCUACAUUUGCAUCUGGCCAGGCCUUAUCAUCGCGGGCGUGUUGAUACGGUAAACUUUACUCCUUCAGUCAUGAAUCAUGAGCAGUUUAUUCUGGCUCUAGUCCACCCUCCGCUGCCUAAAGACCAAUGGGAUGAACAUCGUGCAGAGAUGGGGAGUUUCUUGAUCAGGAACAUUCGUGUGCUUGCUUCCUAUCCACAUCCAAAUGUUGUUGCUUUAUUCCAGAUUAGAUCACCUGUUCAUCGGGAUGCCUUAGUUCUUGGUCAGCCGAUUGCUUAUGAUGAGGUUCGUUUUGUUAGACAUGAUCAAGGUCCGAACUGGCGUAACGCCCCCUAUAAUCAUCGUGAUUGGAUCAUGUUGCUUGAUUUCCCUCUUGACUAUGUCACUUUCCAUAAUUUUGCCGAUGUUUUUCCUCUUGAUGAUGAUCUGCCACUGGGUGAGGGCCCGGUGGAUCCUAAUUUUGGUAAUGUGCAAAAUGUUAAUCAGGAUCAGAAUCAGGGUUGGGGUAAUUGGGAUGAGGGUAAUUCAACUAACUCUGUCAUCAGUAUCUCCAGUGAUGAAGCUAUUGAGCAUGUGUCUGACAAUAGCCUGAUGGUUCAGAAG